GGAGUCGGAGGCGCGGGCCAGGGAGAACAACACAGAUAAGACUAAUGGUGACUCCAGUCCUGAUGAUAAGAAGCAGGAGUCGGACAAGGAGAAGCCUGCUGAAGAGGCCUCUACAGGAGAUAACAGCAGUGUAGUGAAGGCCCAAGAGGAAUCCACCUGAUGAUGAAGAAACCUAUCUGACUGACUGAACUGAAGGGAAUGUUGGUGCUGCUGACCUGAACUCACUGCUCCUGAGUCCUGACUGAUCUGUGCUGCCACCACUUGCACACACUAGUCCAAACACCACCAAUCAGAGGUUAACUCCUGUUGCUAUGACUACAUGUCCAUCUCAAAUAGUACAAAUCCAGGCUCUUUUCUGGUUUGCACACCCACGUCCUUCUAAACCUUACAGAGCAGUGUCUUCCAUAGUCUUAUUUUAGAUUUCUUUUAACGAUUUAACUAUGGCUGUUUUUAAACUGAUGGUAGUAAAAAGUGGUUCCAUAAGGAAGAUAUAUUGUUAGUUUAAUACAGGCAUAUCUAACCCAUCCCUGACCUCAUAUUGUUUGUUUAAACUAUUCUACUAAGAAGUGAAAUGUUGACCAUAUCAUGUUUGAGAAGGUCAUGGCAAAAAUGGAGUGGGUCAACGAAGCUGUAUAUUCUGUUUUGGAAUAUUUGACCAGAUAGUCUGUUUUUAGAAUCACUUAACGUUUGACAUCCCAAUAUCUUUCAGUUCAACUCAAUUCUCCCAAUUAUACAAGAUGGAUGAUGUAUGGUAAGACUACAUAUACGGUAGUUACUGGUAGAGGAGUCUUUGUAUUACUUGUUAGUUUAGUAAAUGUAAUCAAUACUGACCAAUAUUACUCCUAGAGUAGGUGUACAUAUUUUUUUCAGAAUGUUCUUGCACAGAAAGGAAAUACUACUCCAGUGUGACAGUUUAUUUUGCCAAUAAAGUGCUUUUCUUUUUCUCGCACACCCACAUUUAAAUGUGUUUUUAAGUCCUCCAUUUUGCUGACAUUGAUGUAAAUAAGAGUAUUUUUGUGCCUGUCUGAAAGCCUGUUUUUGCCUCCUUUAAAUAAAGCAAUGGUUCAAUAACA
Molecule: long non-coding RNA, 1073 nt
Organism: Coregonus clupeaformis (lake whitefish)
Lineage: Eukaryota; Metazoa; Chordata; Actinopteri; Salmoniformes; Salmonidae
Exons: 3
Source: RefSeq, a predicted model, not a curated record